RNAcentral lists this transfer RNA (90 nucleotides) under Staphylococcus simiae. RNAcentral describes it as "tRNA-Arg". It matches the Rfam family "tRNA". From Rfam's summary of the family: Transfer RNA (tRNA) molecules are approximately 80 nucleotides in length. Lineage: Bacteria; Bacillati; Bacillota; Bacilli; Caryophanales; Staphylococcaceae. The record is from RNAcentral.
GGAGGGAUACCCAAGUCUGGCUUAAGGGAAAUCAACUUCGGUUGAUUAGGAGCUUUAUUGCUCGCGUUGGUUCAAAUCCUUCUCCCUCCG